CUACGGGAUGCACCAGUGGGGAAUAUUGCACAAUGGGCGCAAGCCUGAUGCAGCCAUGCCGCGUGUAUGAAGAAGGCCUUCGGGUUGUAAAGUACUUUCAGCGGGGAGGAAGGGAGUAAAGUUAAUACCUUUGCUCAUUGACGUUACCCGCAGAAGAAGCACCGGCUAACUCCGUGCCAGCAGCCGCGGUAAUACGGAGGGUGCAAGCGUUAAUCGGAAUUACUGGGCGUAAAGCGCACGCAGGCGGGUUGUUAAGUCAGAUGUGAAGUCCCCGGGCUCAACCCGGGAACUGCAUCUGAUACUGGCAAGCUAGAGUCUCGUAGAGGGGGGUAGAAUUCCAGGUGUAGCGGUGAAAUGCGUAGAGAUCUGGAGGAAUACCGGUGGCGAAGGCGGCCCCCUGGACGAAGACUGACGCUCAGGUGCGAAAGCGUGGGGAGCAAACAGGAUUAGAUACCCUAGUAGUC
Molecule: ribosomal RNA, 464 nt
Filed under: uncultured bacterium
Lineage: Bacteria
Description: partial 16S ribosomal RNA
Rfam family: Bacterial small subunit ribosomal RNA
Source: RNAcentral